Molecule: long non-coding RNA, 631 nt
Organism: Notechis scutatus (mainland tiger snake)
Lineage: Eukaryota; Metazoa; Chordata; Lepidosauria; Squamata; Elapidae
Source: RefSeq, a predicted model, not a curated record
GGGAAUACGCAUCACAACAGCCACAAGUUAGCGAGGUGAGGUAGUGGAAAUGCUUAACCAAAGUCUGGUUGCUGUAAUCGUCUGGAGGAGGGUCAGUAAUCUGCAGUUCAAACCAUGCAAGACAGAAGUGCUCCCUGAACUACUGAAUAAAAUCUUUCGGAGCUCCUGGAGCAUGAGGAAACUGCCAGAGGCCUAGAAAAGCGCUGAUAUGGUCCUAAUCUUCAAAAAGGAGAGAAAUUGGACUCGGGAAACUACAGAACAAUCAGCUUGACAUCAAUACCUGGGAAAAUUUCGGAAAAGAAAACCAAGCAGCAGAUUUGUGAGCAUCUGGAAAUGAACAAGGCAAACCAUCUAUCUUCCUGAAGCAGGCAUUGUUUUUGCAGUGAUACUGGAUCCUCAACCCUUAUCAUAGCAUUCUGCACAAGAUGUCAUAUUUGUCUUUCCUUUAUAAUGCUUCCACUGAAACAAUGUUAGCAAUUUGUGUUUUAAAAGGAUUCAUAUGGAGAAUUUUGCAGUGGGUCCGUUGUGAGACUUCCCGGUGAUAGCACUUCAGAGAUCUUUUUAUUUCUAUAUUAUUUUCUGUGUAAAGAAUCUGAUGAGCCAUGGAAACAUCCUACUGUCAUGUUCACCU